AUUAGCUAUAUCAGAGUCCUUAUUGCCCUUGUAGCAACUCUAAAUGGAGAGCAACCUUCUUUCAAUCAAAGACCCCUCAUGGUUAACAAGGUCAUGCUCCAAAGCCUCCCCAGGCACAAAAACGGUUAAAAGAGAUGCCAUGCCGGGACGUACCUGCGCAGCUUUGAAGACAUCACUGUUGUGCUGGGAUACACAGGAAGCAGUGCAAAGAAUCAAUACGUCCAUCUCUGCAACAUUAAAAUUAAUCUUAAUGUUAUUUGGGCUUCAGAACACAAAGAAGAACAUCAGUAUAACCAAAAUGAGAUUCUGAAAGUUAUUUGUUCAUGUAAGUGUAAAGGAGAGAAUCUGCAAUGCAUGAAAAGGACAUCAUCUGUCAAUCAAAAGGAGCAUGCCAUUGGAAUGUUCCCAGGAAAAAGAGUUGGAGCUAAGCCAGCAGCUGAACUUGGAGAAACUUGCUUCUGAGCUAGGCUAAGAGACCCUUGUGGCUUCUGGAGAGGCUUUUGAACUAACUUUGGCUAGUGUGGCUGAUGGUGGUGGCUGAACCUGAAGAACUAAUUGUAUAUCUGAGAUUUGAGUUUGAAGAAGAAGAAAGAAGAAAAUAUUUGUCCUCUUAUUUCUCUCUGACUGUCUCUGAUAGUGACUGAUCGCCAUACUCCCAAUACCCUCCUAACUCCUUGUAUAGAUUAGGGAAACCCCCAUCCCGCUUACCUCAUUGUCUUCCCCAAUACACCCCUAACUUGAGAAAAGAGUAUCUUCUCUAAACCUCAUAGUUCACCUUGAGUUACUUAGAAGGUGGCUGACUAAAAGGGGGGAGGGGAAGGGAGGCAGGAGGGAGAGGGAGGAAAUAGGGGAGGCAUUUGAGGGAGGAGGGUAGGCAAAAUCUUGAUCCAUUAGCCAUCUAGUAGUGAUCCAUAGGCACCCCAGUAUCCUUUUAUUACAGAAGGUGUUAUUUGAACCCCAACUCAUUGUUUUUCAUGUUUACCUGCCCAUCUCAGUCCCACCAUUAAAUGUAACCAUUUGUCCAUUAGCAUAAUUAAUAAUG
Molecule: long non-coding RNA, 1042 nt
Filed under: Monodelphis domestica (gray short-tailed opossum)
Lineage: Eukaryota; Metazoa; Chordata; Mammalia; Didelphimorphia; Didelphidae
Description: lncRNA (ENSMODG00000044594.1)
Source: RNAcentral